GAACGUUGGCGGCAGGCUUAACACAUGCAAGCGAACGAGAAAGCACCUUCGGGUGUGAGUAAAGUGGCGGACGGGUGAGUAACGCGUAGGAAUCUACCUGGUAGAGGGGACAACUCGGGGAAACUCGAGCUAAUACCGCAUAACAUCCUUCUUCUUCGGAGGAGGGAUCAAAGUGGGGGAUCUUCGGACCUCACGCUAUCAGAGGAGCCUGCGUUGGAUUAGCUUGUUGGUGAGGUAAAGGCUCACCAAGGCUACGAUCUAUAGCUGGUCUGAGAGGACGAUCAGCCACACUGGAACUGAGACACGGUCCAGACUCCUACGGGAGGCAGCAGUGGGGAAUCUUGGGCAAUGGCGCAAGCCUGACCCAGCCAUGCCGCGUGUGUGAAGAAGGCCUUCGGGUUGUAAAGCACUUUCAGUAGUGAAGAAAGCUUAGGGUUAAUACCCCUGAGUCUUGACGUUAACUACAGAAGAAGCACCGGCUAACUCCGUG
Molecule: ribosomal RNA, 490 nt
Filed under: uncultured bacterium
Lineage: Bacteria
Description: bacterial SSU rRNA
Rfam family: Bacterial small subunit ribosomal RNA
Source: RNAcentral